This 419-nucleotide ribosomal RNA is filed under the name uncultured bacterium. RNAcentral describes it as "partial 16S ribosomal RNA". It matches the Rfam family "Bacterial small subunit ribosomal RNA", at positions 356 to 769 of the family's 1533-position model. The record is from RNAcentral.
UGGGAAUUUUGGACAAUGGGCGAAAGCCUGAUCCAGCAAUGCCGCGUGUGUGAAGAAGGCCUUCGGGUUGUAAAGCACUUUUGUCCGGAAAGAAAUCCUUGGCUCUAAUACAGUCGGGGGAUGACGGUACCGGAAGAAUAAGCACCGGCUAACUACGUGCCAGCAGCCGCGGUAAUACGUAGGGUGCAAGCGUUAAUCGGAAUUACUGGGCGUAAAGCGUGCGCAGGCGGUUUGCUAAGACCGAUGUGAAAUCCCCGGCGUCAACCUGGGAACUGCAUUGGUGACUGGCAGGCUAGAGUAUGGCAGAGGGGGUGAGAAUUCCACGUGUAGCAGUGAAAUGCGUAGAGAUGUGGAGGAAUACCGAUGGCGAAGGCAGCCCUGGCAAGUACUGACGCUCAUGCACGAAAAGCGUGGGGAGC